This 320-nucleotide unclassified non-coding RNA is filed under the name Hevea brasiliensis (rubber tree). Lineage: Eukaryota; Viridiplantae; Streptophyta; Magnoliopsida; Malpighiales; Euphorbiaceae. The record is from RNAcentral.
GAGAGACUUAUAUUACACCUUAGUAAUAAACUAUUCAGUCAAACCAUUAUUAUAUAAUCUUACAGCCAAAAUGCAAGCAAUCAAUUAAUUCCUUCAAGUUUUUAGCAACUUCAGCCAUCUAUCUAACCAUUUAUGAUAUUUCUUUAUAAAACACAUUCACAUACAUCCUCCUCAACUAGAAGAGAAAUCCAUACAUGCAACAAGCAAAAAGAUAGAGAACUAAAAGGAGAAGAAAUGGGGAAGAAGGGGGAGUAACACUACUUGUAGCAAAUUAAGACACCUAAAGAUAUGUUCCCUACCUUGAGAAUCCGAGACAUAAA